Molecule: ribosomal RNA, 497 nt
Filed under: uncultured bacterium
Lineage: Bacteria
Description: partial 16S ribosomal RNA
Rfam family: Bacterial small subunit ribosomal RNA
Source: RNAcentral
GAUGAACGCUGGCGGCGUGCCUAAUACAUGCAAGUCGAGCGAACAGGUAAGGAGCUUGCUCCUUUGACGUUAGCGGCGGACGGGUGAGUAACACGUGGGUAACCUACCUAUAAGACUGGAAUAACUCCGGGAAACCGGGGCUAAUGCCGGAUAACAUGUUGAACCGCAUGGUUCUACAGUGAAAGGCGGCUUUGCUGUCACUUAUAGAUGGACCCGCGCCGUAUUAGCUAGUUGGUGAGGUAACGGCUCACCAAGGCAACGAUACGUAGCCGACCUGAGAGGGUGAUCGGCCACACUGGAACUGAGACACGGUCCAGACUCCUACGGGAGGCAGCAGUAGGGAAUCUUCCGCAAUGGGCGAAAGCCUGACGGAGCAACGCCGCGGGAGUGAUGAAGGUCUUCGGAUCGUAAAACUCUGUUAUUAGGGAAGAACAAAUGCGGAAGUAACUGGGCGCGUCUUGACGGUACCUAAUCAGAAAGCCACGGCUAACUACGUG